CUGUUGCGUCAGGAACACUUCCCUGCUUUAGGUGUAAUCAGGCUUUCCAACUGCUAUUUUACAUCAAUGCUAAGAGCUACACUGCACCUGAACCUCUCUGAAUUACAGCAGGAUGACAAUCAGUAAAUCAAAUCCAGUGAUACUACGGCAAACUACGCCUACAGGAUGGAUGGAAACAUCACACAUGCCAGGAAAACAGAAAUACGGUGUCUCAAACCAAGGGAUGACAGUCAAUGGGAAAACAAGGAAACAAAACCACCGAUUUCUGGCCACGCUGCUUCACAUCUGUUCCAUUAUUAUUAUUAUUAUUAUGACAAAUACUUGAAAGCAAUCCUUUUUUCUUUACAAAAGCUCCACGGUGCAGCGGUGUGGAUUUUCGUGACAGCUCCUCACGUUACCCAGUUCAUUGGUCUGUGUUUACAAAGGACUUAUUUGACUAGGGAAAAAAAAAAAAAAGGACAUACUUUUAUUGCCCCCCUUUAGCACUAACCUGGGCAGCCUGGAAGGAGCUGAGACCACUGACUGCUUGGGAACAACUCACAUACUGGAUUACAGGGGGGAAGAACCAUUUGUACAGCGUGACAUUGUGAAUUAGCUGAUGAUAUUAUGUAUUACGUUUAUUAUGUAUACUGUUAUGUUAUAUAUGCUAAAGAGGGGGUGCCAGGAAAGCUUUCUAAUGGGGCGCAGGGCUGGGAUGGAGGCAUUGGUACUGGUCUGCCUUAAUAUGUUAACUGCUAGGACUGAUGCAUGCCAUUCUGCAACCUCUGCCAGGGCAAAAGGCAAAGCAGCCCUGAAAUGAGCCCCCAGAGACAUCACCAAGAGCCCCCAAAGGCUGGGUUAUUGCCACAGCUUUAAGUUCAGACAAUAAAGUAAUUAGCAGAGGAGAAACCAUGAUUAGCAGAGUCAGUAUUACAACACGUAGCUGAGUGCAAAUCAGGACUAGAGCAGGCAGAGCAGAUUUACAGCCUCUGGUCAUACAAAUUUCAUGCCUAAUAACAUGCCUACACUUUUAAUAUCCUUGCAAGAACAUCAAGAUGACGCACAACGGAGACGUUUUGUUUGCCCUACAACAUCAGCUUGCAAAACAACCCACAAUAUUUGCCCGUGCGCAAAGAUGUGAUAGUGUGCCCUACUGAGAUUUUUCACAUAGAUUAAGCUUAAGUUGCUAUUUUCCCACGGGAACCCAUCACUUAAUGUCUCCUAAGCUAGAUACUGGCUGGAGAUUAAUUUGGAAAGGAGAUGUUAAGAUGUGAAAACUCUGUUUUCCAAACGUGCAGUCCUAGGCACGGUAUAAGGAAAGGCCGGUCCUGACAGACAUACAGUCAGCAGUGUACUGAAGUACAAGGCUCUGGGGCAAAGUGUAUGCAGGAAGAAGAAAGAUCCGUCCCCAAAGGAUGCUUUCCCAGCACCAGGAAUGAAUUUGCCUGGACAUGUUCCCAUUGGCUCAAGGGUAAGGAGUUUCCCUGAGGGGAUCCACUUAGUCGGCAACCUCGUCCUUGCAGAAGUUUGUGCCCUUGGAUAUAGGAGGAAGGAUGACACAUUUCUACCCGCAUCACGGCUGUGUACUCACAAAGAGGAAAGUGGAAUGCUGCUCGGAACUGAAGAAUACAGUGACUCAGAUUCACAUAAACAAUUAUUUCCGUCUCCAGUGGAUUAUCUCACGUUUACCAAAAGCAAUUGAGCAUGGAUGGAAUAAGAGAUAAACUCUCUGGCAAGAGCAGCAAGAACUCUGAACCAAGCACGUGAUGGACUCUGUGUCUAAGGGAAAGGGAGAGAGGAAGGACAGACGCAGCACAUGACCUGGAUACUGAGGAGCUGGCCAUAACACAGGGUCCACCUCGUAAUACAAGAAGGGAAAAUUCUGGCAAACACCAGAUUCUCUGGCAGAGAACCACAUGAUUCUGAGGAUGUGAAGUACUACUGACUGGCUGCUUCUCAGUAUUUGCCUACAACUUUUCUAGGUAUACCCGUGUGUUUAACAUGCCUUCUUUCCUACUCCAGCUUGCCUCCUUACCAUUAAAACUAAUCAAAUAAUUAGACUGGUACCAAAAAAAAAAAAAACCAAACAUUUAGCAUCGUGACAAAGGAGGAAAUAACAAAGCUUUCCGGUCUUUCCAAAUGCUGUCUUUUGUAUUCCUUAUCCUCCCAUGGGAUACUGUACAUUCUUACAAGAUGUCUUUCAUUUUCUUUCAAGUGUCACACAUACCUCUGCACUUAACAAAAGUGCAAGCAGCACUCGGUCUGACUGAAGCCAGCUGACUCAGCUCUGUGUGGAUGUGUGCACGAUGCUCUAGAGCAGAUUUCUCAUAACACUAAGCCACCCCCACAUGGAUACUGUGUAAUUUAUAUAGUGUUCCUUUGAAAAUGCUGCCCUGAAGCUGACUCACCAGCAUACAAUUCUACCUAAGGCACAUUUCUGGGAGUGGAGUUGGCUCUUUAUCAGAUGAUUCACAAAUCAGGCCUGGUAGCAAUCCUAAAGAAUAAGACCCUUUGCAAUAGACAUGCAAAGAGAAUUGAGGUGUGAAACAAAAGGAGAAAGGAUUAAACUAAUGCUCCGUUUCAACUGGUUUUGCAUAAACAAACCAAGGUUAAAAAUAGGCUGCUCCUACUGAGUGCUCAGCAGGCUGGAUGUACAAAUUAUACAAGACAGGAGAGAAACUACAAGUAGAUGUAUUAAAGCAAAGGUUUGUGAAGCAUCCUUAGCAACCCUGAAAAGCAACAUUUUCUUCAUCACUAACAAGAAACAAGUUUUUAUAUUUAAAUACAGGUCUACACAUUGUAAUUUUAAUGCACAUGUUUUGCUUCUUCCAAACAAAAUGUAACUCCAGUACAGAGUUAGUUUACCAGCUGAAACACUGGCUUCCAGAAACACACACCAGCUGCACAGGAAUCCCAGAAAAUCACAGGCCUUGGGUAGAUAAAUUAAUUAGCACACAGACAAGGGCACACAGGUUGCAUUUAAUCUUCUAAAAUAUCAUUUCUGUCUCAGAGUGUAACUGUUUUUUCUCAAGUGCACAGUGAUUUAAAGUCCUCAGUGCUCUCUACUUCAUUAGUUGCCAGAGGCAUAUUUUCACUAACCUGUUCCUAAAAAUGUAGGAGAUUAAUCUGUGCAUUAUCAUGAUUCUUUCAACAGAACAAGUUGAAGAAAUCAAUGCUGGGCUAGCUAUGCUUCAUUUCUUGCACAGGCCCAACCUAUUAAGGAUAGCCAUACAGAUGCGCCAUCUCCUCCUAAGAUUUGUAGUGUAACAAAACCCCAUUUUACUUACCUACUUCUGUUACUUCACGAUAAAUGCAUGCUGUGCUUCCUCUAUUGAUUCAUGUCAUUUUAUAUAAACAGGCUAAAAUAGUCUGUUAAACAGAUCAACCAGAAAUGUUGGUCUACUGUUCUACUGUGGUCGAUAAAGUAAUGCCCCCAGAAAUACCACAUAUUAAGUUGCUUGGGAACAGUGGAAACACCUAAAUUAAUCCUGAUCUUCAGAGUGGAGAUUUGCUUUCUAUUCUGAACAUUUUUCUGUAAUAUUCUGAAAGUUUGUUAUCUGCUCAUAGCUUCAAACAGAUCAGGACAACAACAAUGCAGCUUCGAUGUACUAGUCAUCUCACUGCUGUCUCCAGCAAAAUCAAAGCAGAUCUAGCCCAGACAAGCACAAAAGAACACUCUGUACCCUGCUGCUCCUGCUAUUUGGAAAAUUCAAAGCAGCAGUGAAUGCUGUGGGUCACAGGUUGCAGUUCCAUGAGUCCUUCAAAAUCCCUCUGGCUGUCUGCUGCUGCUGCAAUGAGGCAGAACUGCCCACUGCUGGUCCUUCUGAAAUCCCGCUCCCUAGAAGGAAGCUCUGCACCUUACAAAGGACUAAGGCCUGAGAAGUGCAGCUCAGGAGAGCAAAGUCAGCAGCAGAACACAAGAGACAGCAGUGACAGGCCUAGAACGAGGGGAGCACUAGACCAGACAGUGGGCCUGGUAAAUCAUAACCCAUCAGUUCUUGACAUCAGGAGCACAGAUACCGUUAAUAGAGAAGUGCUGCUCUGCAAUUAUUUGCACCUUUUCCUUUCCUGGAACAGGACUGCCUGUAUACCUUAUGCUAGAUCUGCAUCUCUGCACCAUCUUGCACUACUUCUCUAGCUGAUGUUGGUGAUCCCUUUGUCUGCUGCAUCUCAUAAUAAAGUUAUCCAGACAAGAAAGUCACCAAACUUGAAAUUGCAUGGGUUUAUGACAGCCGUUUAUUUUUAACAAAGCUGAGUUAGCAAAGAGGUAUUAAGCAAGUUUGCAGUUUGUCUGCAAGUACUUCACAAUUAGCCAGUUUUACAUGCUGGCAUACUAGAAAUAAACAAAUAAGCUUUUGGGUAUUUUAAAGCUUAAAAAAAAAAAAAACAUAGUUCAGUAGCAGUUUUGCUUUAGGCAAAAACGAAGUAUCUUCCUGUCAUAUCUGGCAGCAACAUAACCAUUUUAUGGUCUGGCCAAGUGAAGAAGAGAAAUUAGGUGACAGGCGUAAGUUCUACACAAAGUCUGGAAAGGAUCUACAAGCCAAAAACAGACCUCAGAUCAUUUCCACACUCACAAGCUACUAAUGCUCGUUUGUUAUUUAACUAUUAAGCUAGUUGUACAAGAUCUAAAUACUGAACAUGAAAUCGUAACAGAAAUACUAGUGAAAAAAAAAGAGUCUUAAACACCCUGAAGGUAAAUGCAUGUUGCCAUCAAAUUAUGAAAUUCCAGCAUCAGUAACCAUCAGCUGCUGCUGGCUGCUCCCAGCACCAAAGCUUUGAUCCUUUUUUUUUUGACCACUAAGAAGACAUAACAUUUGAUUUUGUUGUCUAGCAGAUAUGUAAUGCAGUCUUCACAUGCCUAGUGUGCUCUGCUGAAGGAAGUGCUCGUGACACUGGUCUGUCAUACCCUAAGUAAUCAGUAAGCAGCAAAUACAGCUCCAAUGCAAACAACCUGCUGGCUUCUCACUAGAAAAAGCCCACCUGUGCUGCUGGACCCUACUCAAGACCACACACAGAAUGACAGCCAACCUUUCAGUUUGCAUCUUUACAAAACCCAAUACAUUGCACCCUAUUUGAGGUUUCCUAAGAAACUGUUCCAACAAAACAACAAAAAAGGAAGAUAACAACCACAGACAUCUAUGGACACAGGCAGAAUUAGUAGCAGACUGUGGCAUGACCUGUUAUGGAAGGAGAAAAAAGCAUGGUAAGGAAAAAGGACAGUGCAGGAGACGGUUAAUUCAAAACAAGCUUUUGACAAAUGGCAGAUGAAGAAUUUGGUGCAAAGUACAAAGAGGUUCAUUCUCAAAAAUGAUCAAAAGUUAGUCCAGGUAUUUCUAAAACACAACUAACUGUGUCAAAAGCCAGUUCCAAGUGCAUUAUAAAUGAUGUCUUUAACACUGCUGUCAGUAUCAGAUACUUCUUACAUUUACUCCUAGUCAGCAUACCUCAAGAAAUUUGACCCCCACUUUGAAACAGUGACAGAAUGACUGGGAAACAUACAGAAGGCUUUGCAUAUAUUUGACUUCAAGAGUUAAAUCUAAGAGAACACCAAGUUAUGUAUUAUAAAAAGAGUAAAAAAAAACCCCAAAGCCUAGAUGGUAGUUACUGUUGGUACUGUGCAGGUAUUAACAGAA
Molecule: long non-coding RNA, 5612 nt
Organism: Gallus gallus (chicken)
Lineage: Eukaryota; Metazoa; Chordata; Aves; Galliformes; Phasianidae
Exons: 3
Source: RefSeq, a predicted model, not a curated record